AAGAGCCGGGUCGCUCUCGUCAGCUGAGGAGAAUGAUUCAUAGAGGAGGGUCAGGAGAGAAGAACAGUUCUCUCUGCGAGAGCCCACUUAAAAGGCUGUACUCUUCUCCGAGGGGGGGAGAGGCAGGAGAGUAAGCGAGGCCUCGGGCCUGGCCCCGUCUCGGGCCGCUCGUCAGGGCUCUAUCGAGUCCUGGGCCUUGACGGGGGCGGCCGCGAGGCGCCGGUUGCUGGGGGACCGUGACGUCGCGGGGUGAAAGUUGAGGGGCGGUGACGUCGGCCCUGCCCGGGCGGAGGCUGGCGGGUUGGAGGCAGGAGGGAGGGAGGGAAGGAGGGAAGGAAGGAAGCUGGGAACGAGCGAGCGAGCGGGGGCGCGAGGCGUUUACCUGGAGGCAGCGGCUUGGGCGCGCAGAGCGGCCGCGGCUCCCCCGCACCUGCGGCCAUGGAUGAGGAGCGCGCCCUCUACAUCGUCCGGGCCGGCGAGGCGGGGGCUAUCGAGCGGGUCCUGAGGGAUUACAGCGAUAAGCAUAGGGCUACUUUCAAAUUUGAAUCAACAGAUGAAGAUAAAAGAAAGAAACUCUGUGAAGGCAUAUUUAAAGUCCUUGUAAAGGACAUCCCAACAACAUGUCAAGUGUCCUGCCUGGAAGUUCUCCGCAUUCUCUCCAGAGACAAAAAGGUUUUAGUUCCUGUAACAACCAAGGAAAAUAUGCAGAUACUGCUGCGAUUAGCCAAGCUAAAUGAGUCGGAUGAUUCUUUGGAGAAGGUGUCAGAGUUCCCAGUUAUUGUGGAGUCAUUAAAAUGUCUGUGUAACAUAGUGUUCAACAGUCAGAUGGCACAGCAGCUCAGCCUGGAACUUAACCUUGCUGCAAAGCUCUGUAACCUCCUGAGAAAGUGCAAGGACCGAAAGUUUAUCAAUGACAUUAAGUGCUUUGACUUGCGCUUGCUCUUCCUCCUGUCACUUUUGCACACUGACAUCAGGUCACAAUUGCGCUAUGAGCUCCAGGGACUACCGCUGCUAACCCAGAUCUUGGAAAGUGCCUUUAGCAUCAAGUGGACCGAUGAAUAUGAAUCGGCCAUAGACCAUAAUGGACCUCCUCUCUCACCUCAGGAGACAGACUGUGCCAUUGAGGCCCUCAAAGCUCUCUUCAAUGUGACGGUAGACAGUUGGAAGGUGCAUAAAGAGAGUGAUUCUCAUCAGUUCCGUGUCAUGGCAGCUGUCCUUCGCCAUUGUUUACUAAUCGUAGGUCCAACUGAAGACAAAACAGAAGAGCUGCACAGCAAUGCAGUCAACCUUUUAAGCAAUGUUCCGGUCUCUUGUUUGGAUGUUCUCAUUUGUCCAUUAACCCAUGAAGAAACGGCCCAAGAGGCAACGACACUAGAUGAACUACCCAGUGAUAAAACAGCUGAGAAAGAAACUGUUUUGAAAAACAAUACCAUGGUAUACAAUGGUAUGAAUAUGGAAGCCAUUCAUGUUUUACUCAGUUUUAUGGAGAAGAGAAUAGACAAGGGAAGCAGCUAUAGAGAAGGUCUCACUCCAGUUCUCAGCUUAUUAACAGAAUGUUCCCGAGCCCAUCGAAACAUCAGAAAAUUUCUCAAAGAUCAGGUUUUACCACCAUUGAGGGAUGUGACAAAUCGACCUGAAGUUGGCUCAACUGUGAGAAAUAAGCUGGUGCGCCUCAUGACACAUGUUGACCUUGGAGUCAAGCAAAUUGCUGCUGAAUUCCUUUUUGUCCUUUGCAAAGAGAGAGUGGAUAGCCUGCUGAAAUACACUGGCUAUGGGAAUGCUGCAGGACUGUUGGCGGCCAGGGGCCUCUUGGCUGGAGGAAGAGGAGAUAAUUGGUACUCAGAGGACGAGGACACAGACACUGAAGAAUACAAAAAUGCAAAACCAAACAUUAAUCUUAUCACUGGUCAUUUAGAGGAACCAAUGCCAAAUCCCAUAGAUGAAAUGACAGAAGAACAAAAAGAAUAUGAAGCCAUGAAACUUGUCAACAUGCUUGAUAAACUUUCCAGGAGAGCAGAUGUGAAGGACCUGCACCAGGAUGGUGGUUAGCAACAGUGGCCCGUGCCAAAGCACUUACCAAAGUGAUGACUAAGACCCUGUCAUUAAUUCCAUGUGUCAAUACUGCCCUGUAGUACACAGAGCAGACAAGAAAGAAGAGCCCUUGAAAACAAGGGAAUGAUUUUUGAGUCGUUAUCAAGCUAAGUGGCAAGCGGGAAGCUGAAACUCGUAUAGUUGAACAUUCUUGGAGGCUUAUCUCUUCCCUGGCCAGAUGCCUGAUCAGAUGAGAAGCCCGCCAUGAUACUGUCACAGUGCCUAGAAUGGGCUCUUUAUCCAGUAGACAUCACUGUACUUUUUGAUGAUAACGAGGGCAGUCUUAACUUGUGUUAAGGCCUGUGUAUAGCAUUAAAGGGAGGAGUUGCUUAAACCAAUGGGACUAAAACCUGAUGGGACAAUAACGCCUUUGGAGGAAGCACUCAACCAGUACUCUGUCAUCGAAGAGACCAGCUCUGACACAGACUAAAAGCGUCACCUGCCCAACUCUCAAUAUUGCUUUUAUCAGCAUCUUUUCUCUGUAGCUCCAGGGGAGUCUUUUCUCUAAAACAUUUAUGCCCUUGCUUUGGCUAGAAACACAUUAACUGGUUUACUCGUUGAGAAUCCAGCAUAUUUAAGAGGUGAUCCUGUGUUUUCGCAAUACCGAGGCGUUCGUACAGAGCUGCAGUUAGAUGGAGUGGCAGGGGCUAACCACAGAAGAAGAGGAAUUCCAUUUCAUUGGGAUGGAACUGAAGGACUUCAUCCUAUAAAGCAGCCCCGGUUGAAUCUGGCCGUUCUGUUUGCCAAGGUUCUUAGAUGUAGUCGUGGCCUUCCUCUCUCGCCUGUGAAAGCUGCCCCCUUCUGAAUCUCUCCAGCAGACGGAGCCACGUGAGAAGCAGAACGAGCCGCUAAAUAAGGGCUGAGGCAAGUGACUUGUUAGAUCAGGACUGACUACAUGGAAGCCAAGCAGCUGCUCCAUAAACCUAGUCCCACUCUUCAAUUUUGUACAAAUAUGUGGAAAUGCACAAACACGCACACACACAGCCCCAGACUUGCAAACUGAUUACAUUCUAAAAGUUUGUAGGUCCCUUAUCGAGAACUUCAGAAUACAUUUCUCCCUCUAAAGGGUUAUAAAUGAUGGUUUAGUUCUGAGGCAGCUACAGAUGCCUAUUUAUUCUCUUACGUACCUUAACACUAGUACCAUAGAACUGAACCCCCAUCUGUAUCAUUGCAUGGGAGCAUGCAUUCUGAGGUCUAACUCGGGGUGCCAGGAACACACGUCCUCCAACCCAGCAGAGAGGAUGGGGACUCCCGGAGUGCUGGGAGUUCUCUCAUGGCCUCUGCUGGGGGUGGAGGGGGUCAGCAGCCCCCAUUUGUACAUAUAGGUCAUUCAUAGGUCACAGGUUGUACAUUGGGACUGUGUGUGCGCUUGUGUGUGUGUUUGACCUUUCUACCAUAUGUGAUCAGUUUAAUGGUAACUUUAUUUAUUUAAAAAAAAAAAGAAACACAGUUACUGUUAAACUGAUUAAGGCUGUUUAUUUUUACUUUUAGAAUUGGUCAUAUGAAGAAGUAGAAUAUGGAUCCUGCAAUAGACAGUGGGCCUAGUUAAUCAGUGGCUAAAGCUGAAAGGGGUUGGUUUCCUUGUAUAUAUGUCUGCAUGGAUGUAUGUACAUGUACGUACAUGCAUACAUAUAUACACAUAGAUAAUGUGCUUAACCACUGCCUUUUAAAACUUUAAAUUAAAUAAAACAUUGGGGUUGAUUCAAUUUAGCCAUCUGUGUGUGUUUCUUUACAGAUACAUGGGGCAAACAAUAUUUCAGAGUUUAUGCUUUUUUUUAAAGUGUUUUCACAUCUGUUAUCUCACUUACCAUAAUACCCCUUCUAAGGAUAGGUAAAGUACGUGGAGUAUUGGUGGAAAAUGUCAUUUAUCCAGAGAUCCCUUCUCUGACAAAACAACAGUUCAAGGAUGCAGUUUUUAAAGGCCUUUGAGCUGCCAAAGAAGUCACUAGAGUUUCUUGCAAUUUACUCAUAGGAGAGAUCCUCAAGAAUCUCUCCUUUUACCUCUUUACUAAAAUUUGCAUACAUUUUAACAGAUUUUUUAAUGGGCUUGAAAGCCAGAUAACUCAAAACAAAAACAAAGAACAAAAUGGCAGAGGAAGUGGCUGCUCAAUAGAAGGCAGGUCUACCGAAAACCACUGAAGGCCCCGCUAAAAUCCGGAUAGGAGGGCAGGGAGGAGGAGGAAAUCUACACCAGGCCUCACAAGUCUGGGCCAGUCUGUUUCCCAAAGGACACUGGUGGACCCAGAAAGAUCUGUACCAACAGCAUGGCCCAUAGACAAAUUCUCAGAGAGAGGACCCGGACUUGAUUUCACAAAACUGAGUAAGUCCUGAAUACUCCAGAAUAAAAGGCUAGGAAGAAUACAAUAUACUUCAGGAUUUUCAUCCAGAUAGUUGGAGAAGUGGUGGGUGACCCAUGUUUUAACAGUAAAUGAAAUGAAACUCGGCAAUUCAUAAAUUUAGAUUGUGUGAAAAAAGUUUAGAAAAAGUAUUUUUGUUACUUCAUCCUACAAAUGCAUUUUUAAAGUAUUUUUAUAAUUUCUACAAGCAAAUAGCUUUGGCAUGAGUGUCGGCUUACCUACGUGAAGACAGGUUUACCGAAAUAGCAUCUUGCCAGCUGUGCACAGUGUUUGAACAGUCCUGCUUAAGUCGCUGUGCUCUACUGCUUUCAAGGAGUGUGUUUCACUCUGCGGUUCCCUGCACUGGGCACUAAGUACUAGGCUUUGUUUUUGAAGAGAGCAUUUGCAGGGGGAGAGGAAGGACCUCAUUUUGCCCCUGGAAAGAAAACUAACGUCUGCUCAGUCCUUAGUAUGUGCUGGGCUUUUCAUGUCUCUUAUCGCAAGUAACCUCAUCGCAUCUCCUGUUAGAGACCGUCCCUGCAGGCCUCAGUUUCCCAGUGUCACUGCAAACAGGAGUCCAAGUCUGGCUGGCCUGACUCCCAACACCUCCCUCCCUCCCCUCACCACCCUGACUACCUGGGGCCUCCUAGGAUUCUGGAGUGCUGCAGGCGGGCAUUCUCAGGCCAUUUUAAGCAAUAACCAUUUCAGCAGAACCAGUUUAAGGCACCUUAUAAGCAGGGGGGUGACCUGGAGCGGAUCUGUGAGUGGAAGACUUGCGCAGGACCGGAUUUCAAACAAGGACCUGGAAUCCUUGAGGUCAGAGACCAGGGCUGCAGGCUUGCCCUAGACAGAUGCCUGCCGCGACGGCCCACGGCAGGGAGGAGCAUACGGAUGGGCCGCGUGUCCGCAGCCCUCCUGCCCUCCAACGCAGGGCAUGCAAGUACCACCACAAGGCACUUGAGUACAGCUGACAGACGUUCGGGGCCCCCUUCCCACACCCGUGGUCCUGGGAGGUGGGCAGACGGGUUCUCUGCCCUCCUUUAUAAAUGGGGACACCUCCUGCGGCAGUGCAGGUACUGAGUAGCUCCUCAACACCGCAUCAGUCUCACUGCCUCCCGAUACUAGGUGUCUGGUGUCAUGGUGUCACCGGUACAGACCUGUCCCCCACCCCCGCCAUCAUGAAAGUAAUCUAUGAAUAUAUGCUCAUUAUGAAAAGUUUGGAAAAUGCAGAAAGCUAAAGUCACCCAAAUCCCACCACCAAGAUAAUCACUGUUAAUGUUUUAGUGUAUUUCUGUCCUGUAUUUUUUCUAUGCAUAUAGAAUUUAUUUUAUUACAAGACUGGGAUCAUACUGUAUUUACAGAUUUGUAUCCUGCUUUCUUCUUUAAUAUAUUGUGAGCAUUUUCCCAUGUCAAUAAAUAUUCUUCAAAAGGUAA
Molecule: RNA transcript, 5861 nt
Organism: Mirounga angustirostris (Northern elephant seal)
Lineage: Eukaryota; Metazoa; Chordata; Mammalia; Carnivora; Phocidae
Gene: RIC8B
Gene name: RIC8 guanine nucleotide exchange factor B
Exons: 13
Source: RefSeq, a predicted model, not a curated record